RNAcentral lists this ribosomal RNA (253 nucleotides) under uncultured bacterium. Its description in RNAcentral is "partial 16S ribosomal RNA". It matches the Rfam family "Bacterial small subunit ribosomal RNA", at positions 524 to 776 of the family's 1533-position model. The record is from RNAcentral.
UACGUAGGGUGCAAGCGUUGUCCGGAAUUAUUGGGCGUAAAGAGCUCGUAGGCGGUUUGUUGCGUCGGCUGUGAAAUCCCGAGGCUCAACCUCGGGUCUGCAGUCGAUACGAGCAAACUAGAGUGUUGCAGGGGAGACUGGAAUUCCUGGUGUAGCGGUGAAAUGCGCAGAUAUCAGGAGGAACACCGGUGGCGAAGGCGGCUCUCUGGAACGCAACUGACGCUGAGACGCGAAAGCGUGGGGAGCAAACAGG